UUUGGCGCCCGUUCUGCAAUGGGAUGCCCCGAAGCCCCCCGAGGGAUAAUACAGGCUCUCCCAUCCAACUCCUACUCCGACGCGUCCUCGUCGUGUAGAGUGGUAACAUCCCACAGCAAAGUGACAUUUGCUCUAAAUUGUUUUCCCAUAUCUGCUCGAUUAGUACUCGAUACGCUUAAAAUUGUGAAUUUGUGUGUG
Non-coding RNA from Anopheles gambiae (African malaria mosquito), 198 nucleotides. Lineage: Eukaryota; Metazoa; Arthropoda; Insecta; Diptera; Culicidae. The record is from Rfam.